AGCGAACGCUGGCGGCAGGCCUAAUACAUGCAAGUCGAGCGGCCCUUCGGGGCAGCGGCGGACGGGUGAGUAACGCGUGGGAAUGUGCCCUUUGGUACGGAACAACUGAGGGAAACUUCAGCUAAUACCGUAUGUGCCCUUCGGGGGAAAGGACUUAUUGCCAUUGGAGCAGCCCGCGUUGGAUUAGGUAGUUGGUGGGGUAAAGGCUACCAAGCUACGAUCCAUAGCUGGUCUGAGAGGAUGACCAGCCACACUGGGACUGAGACACGGCCCAGACUCCUACGGGAGGCAGCAGUAGGGAAUCUUGCGCAAUGGGCGAAAGCCUGACGCAGCCAUGCCGCGUGAAUGAUGAAGGUCUUAGGAUUGUAAAUUCUUUCACCGGGAAGAUAAUGACGGUACCCGGAGAAGAAGCCCCGGCUAACUUCGUGCCAGCCGCCGCAGUAAG
RNAcentral lists this ribosomal RNA (445 nucleotides) under uncultured bacterium. RNAcentral describes it as "bacterial SSU rRNA". It matches the Rfam family "Bacterial small subunit ribosomal RNA", at positions 29 to 524 of the family's 1533-position model. The record is from RNAcentral.